GCGGAUGUGGCGAAAUAGGCAGACGCAAGGGACUUAAAAUCCCUCGCUAGUAGUAGCAUGUGGGUUCAAGUCCCACCAUCCGCACCA
RNAcentral lists this transfer RNA (87 nucleotides) under bacterium. Its description in RNAcentral is "tRNA-Leu". It matches the Rfam family "tRNA". From Rfam's summary of the family: Transfer RNA (tRNA) molecules are approximately 80 nucleotides in length. Their secondary structure includes four short double-helical elements and three loops (D, anti-codon, and T loops). Further hydrogen bonds mediate the characteristic L-shaped molecular structure. tRNAs have two regions of fundamental functional importance: the anti-codon, which is responsible for specific mRNA codon recognition, and the 3' end, to which the tRNAs corresponding amino acid is attached (by aminoacyl-tRNA synthetases). tRNAs cope with the degeneracy of the genetic code in two manners: having more than one tRNA (with a specific anti-codon) for a particular amino acid; and 'wobble' base-pairing, i.e. permitting non-standard base-pairing at the 3rd anti-codon position. RNAcentral also lists the same sequence under 1 other name. The record is from RNAcentral.